RNAcentral lists this ribosomal RNA (350 nucleotides) under uncultured microorganism. RNAcentral's name for it is "bacterial SSU rRNA". It matches the Rfam family "Bacterial small subunit ribosomal RNA", at positions 9 to 339 of the family's 1533-position model. The record is from RNAcentral.
GAGUUUGAUCGUGGCUCAGGAUGAACGCUGGCGGCGUGCCUAACACAUGCAAGUCGAACGAAGCAAUCGGGAUGAAGUUUUCGGAUGGAUUCCUGGUUGACUGAGUGGCGGACGGGUGAGUAACGCGUGGAUAACCUGCCUCACACUGGGGGAUAACAGUUAGAAAUGGCUGCUAAUACCGCAUAAGCGCACAGUACCGCAUGGUACGGUGUGAAAAACCCAGGUGGUGUGAGAUGGAUCCGCGUCUGAUUAGCCAGUUGGCGGGUAACGGCCCACCAAAGCGACGAUCAGUAGCCGACCUGAGAGGGUGACCGGCCACGAUUGGGACCUGGAGACACGGCCCAAACUCC